AACGAACGCUGGCGGCAGGCCUAACACAUGCAAGUCGAGCGAGGACUUCGGUCCUAGCGGCGGACGGGUGAGUAACGCGUGGGAACGUGCCCUUUGCUUCGGAAUAGCCCUGGGAAACUGGGAGUAAUACCGGAUGAGCCCUUUGGGGGAAAGAUUUAUCGGCGAAGGAUCGGCCCGCGUUGGAUUAGGUAGUUGGUGGGGUAAUGGCCUACCAAGCCGACGAUCCAUAGCUGGUUUGAGAGGAUGAUCAGCCACACUGGGGCUGAGACACGGCCCAGACUCCUACGGGAGGGAGCAGUGGGGAAUCUUAGACAAUGGGGGAAACCCUGAUCUAGCCAUGCCGCGUGAGCGAUGAAGGCCUUAGGGUUGUAAAGCUCUUUCAGCUGGGAAGAUAAUGACGGUACCAGCAGAAGAAGCCCCGGCUAACUCCGUG
Molecule: ribosomal RNA, 433 nt
Filed under: uncultured bacterium
Lineage: Bacteria
Description: partial 16S ribosomal RNA
Rfam family: Bacterial small subunit ribosomal RNA
Source: RNAcentral